Molecule: small RNA, 27 nt
Filed under: Bombyx mori (domestic silkworm)
Lineage: Eukaryota; Metazoa; Arthropoda; Insecta; Lepidoptera; Bombycidae
Description: ovarian small RNA-22181
Source: RNAcentral
UAGAUUGUAGGAUUGAAUGGAGACCUA